RNAcentral lists this non-coding RNA (27 nucleotides) under Gallus gallus (chicken). Lineage: Eukaryota; Metazoa; Chordata; Aves; Galliformes; Phasianidae. RNAcentral also lists the same sequence under 7 other names. The record is from RNAcentral.
UGGUUCAGUGGUAGAAUUCUCGCCUGC